Rattus norvegicus (Norway rat) is the source of this 4540-nucleotide long non-coding RNA. RefSeq lists it as uncharacterized. Lineage: Eukaryota; Metazoa; Chordata; Mammalia; Rodentia; Muridae. The record is from RefSeq and is a predicted model, not a curated record.
CAGAGGGGCCAUUGAGUGAAGCUGUGAAGGUGAAAUCUGGAUUUCCUCGGAGACCCCAAGAGGUUAGAGAUGCCAGAGCUGUGGGAUAUCUGUCAAGGAAAGCUGCUAACAGGGAGUGGAAACAGCUCAAGAGAAAGAAGUGUGUUUCAGUCAACAAAGCUGAAAGGAGUUGGAAGUCUGAAGAACAUUUUGACAUCAGACAUGGAGAUCCAGAAUUUGGAGUUUGGUUUUUGGUCUUGCUUUGGUUGAGUAUUUCCUCACUGUGUUUGUUUUUCCUAUAGUUUGAAAUGAUAAUGUAUAUCUUUUGCCAUUAUAUAUUGGAAGUAUGUCAUCUUUUUUAAUUUUAAUUUUAUAGGGGGUUACAGUGAAGAGAAUGCAUGCACAUCAGAAGAGACUUUGAACUCUGAACUUUAGAACAUUGUAGAGACUGUGAUAGACUAUGGGGACUUUUGAAGUUGGACUAAAUACAGUUUGCAUUAUAUUGUGGCUACAAAUCUAUCAGGGCCAAGAAGUGGAAUGUGGGGGGUUGAAUAAGUACGACUCCAUGGAUUCAUGUGUUUUAAUGCUUGACCCAUAGAGAAUGGCACCAUUAGAAAGUGUGGCUUUGUUGGAAGAAAUAUGUCACUGGGUAGUCAGGCUUUGAGGUCUCCUAUGCUCAAACUCUGCCAGUGGGACAUUAUCCUGCUGUCUUUCAAUCAAGAUGUAGAACUCUUAGCGUCUCCAGCACCAUGUCUACCUGCAGUGCACAUGACUUCUAGCCAUGAUGACUGUGGAACUUCAGUCUCCACUUCUAUCUCAUGUCGUUGCAUUGUUAAUUGUGUCCAAUCAUAGCAGACACAAUUGUGCAUAGCAGAUACAGUUGUGCAUAGCAGAUACAACUGUGCAAACUGUGUAACACUUGAUAAUGAGAGCAAAGGGCUGUUACCAAGUUUCAUCCUUGCUGCACUAUGCCCCUUAUGAUUUCUUAGAGUGUACUUUUAUGUAUCAAAAGAGUUUUGAACAGCAGAAGCCUCACACACCUGGUUACAGUGUCUUUUGAUUGCUUUAAUGAAUCACAUCCAGAAACUGAUGUUUCUGGUUUAUGUAUCCUCUGAUCUUCUCAGAGACAAACAUGUUUAUCAAGUAAGGUGUGUUCCAAUGUCAAUAGACUCUUGGCUGAAGACUUCUCAUCUCUCAGAAGUUGCUUACAGUCUGAUAUGCCCACUAAGUUCUUGUGUUACUAUUCCCACUUAGCUCUGAGUUAUGAAGCACCUUUGUGGCUGUCUGGAAGCAAUUUUGUUUUCCUGUUUGAUGACCUUUUGUAAGUCUUAACUUUAGCCUUUGUCUUCUUAGUCUCCAAGAAGCAUGCAACUAGUUCAUAGGUGUUACUCAGCAAGGACAUUAGCAAGUUUCUAGAAGGCAGCAGAAAGAGAUCUGGACUGUGGAGCCCAGGCUUUGCUUAGUCAGUAACUGUGAAACACAGGGCCAUUUAUUGAUCACUCUAGGGUCAGCCUCAUUACAAGGGAAGCAAGAUUAUCUUUGACAUUCUACAAAAGGAAUGAUCUCCCAGUAUGACCUUAGCUUUAACAAAGAUAUUUAUUUUUAUUUUAAAAUUGUGUGUGUGUGUGUAUGUGUGUGUGUGUGUGUGUGUGUCUGUCUGUCUGAGGGAGAGGGGUGCCAUGAAUGUAUUGUCUUCAAAGGCCAGAAGAGGGCCUUACAUUCACACGGAACUGGAGUUAUAGACAGUUAUAACCUGCUGAUAUGUGUGCCGGGAAUUGAACUCCAGUCCUCUACAAGAGCAGUAUAUACUCGAAACUGCUCAGCUACUUCUGCAAUCCAGUUACUUAGCUUUAAAAAUGCAUUUCUGGACAACUCCAUACAUGUGUAUAAUAUAUUUUGAUCAUAUCCACUUCCAUUAUCCCUCUUUUUCUUUUCUUCCUUCCUCCCUUUAUCCUUUCUUUCUUUCAUCUCUUUCUUCCUUCUUUCCUUUCUUCCUUUGUGUAAGAGUGAUUUGCUCACACGUAUGUCUGUGAACCAUGUAUGUGCCUGCUGCCUAUGUAGGUCAGAAGAGAGUAUGGGGUCCCCUAGAGCUCAGUUACAGAUGGCAUGAACUACCAAGUGGAUGCUGGGAAUUGAUCUCCGGUCCUCUAGAAGAAUAGCAAGUGGUCCAAAGAGCCCAUCUCUCCAGUCCCACACUACCCUCUUUUUUCUCCACCCACUUCCUUGGAAUACCCAUUUCUUCCCAUCUAGUUCAUCUCCUAUGUUCAUGUCUUUGGUUUUUGUUUUGUGACCUACUGACUUUGAUUAGGGUUGCUAGCAGGAGCAUGGUUAAUGGAGCUUAUUUACUAGAGAAACGGCCACUAGCUAGUGGCUGCAUUACUGAAAAAAAUGACACUUCCCCCCUCCCCCAAUUCAUCAUGGAGUGUUGAUAGGCCCAUUCUCAUUCAGUAGUCUAAUCAUCACUUCACUGGUCUUAGUCGUGUCUGUGAUUUCAGAGUUAAAAGUCAGGAAACCAUUACCAUGCUAUGUCUUUCGAAUGUACCUUACCUCCUAUCUGGAUCCAAUCCCUUUCUGCCUCUCAGUAGAAAACAAACACGUUUCUGGAGGAUAGCAUUAGAAUAUAUUAUUAAGAUAAAACAAAAAUAAAUCCAGAUAGGACAAAACAAACAGAAGGAAACGAUCCCAAGAAAAGGCGCAAGAAACAGAGAUGUAGAGACUCACUCACACACUAUGGAAUCCCAUGAAAACACAAAACCAGAAACACACACACACACACACACACACACACACACACACACACACACACACAAGGGAUCUGCAGUGUAAAAAAAAAGGGAGAAAAUAAAAUAAAUAAAAAGAUACAGGGAACCAUCAAAGUUGCCAUUGAGUGUGUUUUCUGCUUCACGUCUACCUUCUGGGCUUGCAGCAGCCCUACUCUCAAAAAUAGUUUCUUCCCCCAAAGAGCUUCUUUGGGGGAAAACCACACCUUCAUUUGCAAGUGAUUAUCAACUGGAGAUAGCUUUGGUUAGGACUGGCGCAGGCCCUGUGCAUGCUGCCCCCGUCUCUGUGAGUUCUGUGCACUGUCCUGCUGUGUCUGGAAGGCCUUGCUUCUUUAGUGUCCUCCACCCCCUCUGACUCUUAUUUUCCUUCUUCCUCCUCUUUAGCAGUCUUCCCUGAGCCUUGUGUGAAUAACGUAAAGAAACACCAAAGGCGUGACCUAGGGAAAUUCUGCAAUGCUUAAGACUCUUGAGAGGGAAAGAAGGGUUGUCCACUUUAAGUUUCCCAGGACAGCUGAGUUGAAGGAGGCCUCCGUGAACCAGUUGUAUUCGUGACAGCAAAGCCAGAUGAGGGAUGUCAGUGGGUUGAGGAAGCGUAAGGUCAUUCAGAAGACCAAGACCCAUUCACUUUGCUUAUGAGGAUUCGAGGAAAACCUGAAGCAUGGCGUUGAAGUCACACGGCUCCUAAUUCAGUCCUUAGAUCUGCCACUGCACUAGAGACGAGCCUUUGGCCCAUUAUUCUAAUUCCUUAGGCAUUAGCUAUCUAAUUUCCCAUGACUCAUAGUUCAGUUGUUGGUUUAGUAAUUUGAGGAAGUCAUUGUCGCCACUCAGACCGUUCUGGAGUACCCGGCUUCUAACUUUACUGUGCUCUAUUUCCCUUCAGGAACCAACAAUGGAAAACUUUUAUCCCAGCUAAUGAGAACCACAAAGCCGUAAACUACCUCACCACAGGGUGAGGGGAAAGGGCUGCCGUGGGUCCGUCUGCACAGGAGUUCCUCAGAGGAGUGUGGUGACUGACUCUUCACAGUGUGGAGGAUCUUCUCUGAGAGGAGUCAGAAACUCUGGAGGUGACCUUCGCUGACCCAGUCAGCUUCUCACAGGAGAGCUCACCAGCUGCACACACCACUGAUCUGGAGGAGGAAAGGAAUGCAGUUUUUGCUGAGAGAUGUAUAAAGUUCGUGGGGAUAAGCAGUGAUUGGCGAGACUCUCGGAAUUCACCUCUUGCCAUCGGCUCACUGAAAUCAGUCUGAUGUCUUGGUUACAAAUCCAACUUCGACACUUGUGUGUGCUCCCAAUGCUGCUGCUGACCUCCCUGCUCCCUUAGCUGUAAAGCAUAAACAAUCCAGUUGGUAACACUCAUCUGGUAAGGAUCCGGCCGGUGGUGUUUGCAAAGGGCUUAGCGCAGUGCCUGGCAUGCAUACGGCAGCUGUUAGGUUUACAGUGCUCAUCGUAAAGCACAUGGUCGUACGUGUGCUUUACACAUGCUGUACUUCUGUUCACAUCAGUCCUCUCAAGUGUUUGCUGAUCAAGGUUCCCAGAGGAGAGUGUGAAGAAGAAUCAACGUCACUUGUACUCCCUGCUGUAUUGGUUGGUCACCCUUGGACAUUUUUGUGGUCUCUGUUCACCUGGGUGACAUGCAGAAAUAUCUCAUUACAAAAAUGUAGAGGGGGGUGGGGAUUUAGCUCAGUGGUAGAGCACUUGCCUAGCAAGCUCAAGGCCCUGGGUUCGGUCCCCAUCUCCGAAAAAAAAAGAAAAAAGAAAAAAGAAAAACAAACAAGCAAAAA